CUAUGCGCCUUGCCAGCCCGCUCAGUCAGAGUUUGAUCCUGGCUCAGAGCGAACGCUAGCGGCACGCUUAACACAUGCAAGUCGAACGAAAAUGUUUACUUCGGUGAACGUUUUAGUGGCGAACGGGUGAGUAAUACAUAGAAAUCUGCCCUUUUGAGAGGGAUAUCCAUGAGAAAUUGUGAUUAAUACCUCAUAAGCUCGAAAGAGGAAAGGCCGCAAGGCCGCUGAAGGAGGAGUCUAUGUCGGAUUAGAUAGUUGGUGGGGUAAUGGCCUACCAAGUCGAUGAUCCGUAGCUGGUUUGAGAGGAUGAUCAGCCACACUGGGACUGAGAUACGGCCCAG
This 341-nucleotide ribosomal RNA is filed under the name uncultured bacterium. RNAcentral describes it as "bacterial SSU rRNA". It matches the Rfam family "Bacterial small subunit ribosomal RNA", at positions 1 to 334 of the family's 1533-position model. The record is from RNAcentral.